GCUAUCAGGCGUCGAGCGGCGGACGGGUGAGUAAUACUUAGGAAUCUACCUAGUAGUGGGGGAUAGCACGGGGAAACUCGUAUUAAUACCGCAUACGACCUACGGGAGAAAGGGGGCAGUUUACUGCUCUCGCUAUUAGAUGAGCCUAAGUCGGAUUAGCUAGAUGGUGGGGUAAAGGCCUACCAUGGCGACGAUCUGUAGCUGGUCUGAGAGGAUGAUCAGCCACACCGGGACUGAGACACGGCCCGGACUCCUACGGGAGGCAGCAGUGGGGAAUAUUGGACAAUGGGGGGAACCCUGAUCCAGCCAUGCCGCGUGUGUGAAGAAGGCCUUUUGGUUGUAAAGCACUUUAAGCAGUGAAGAAGACUCCGUGGUUAAUACCCACGGACGAUGACAUUAGCUGCAGAAUAAGCACCGGCUAACUCUGUGCCAGCAGCCGCGGUAAUACAGAGGGUGCAAGCGUUAAUCGGAAUUACUGGGCGUAAAGGGAGCGUAGGUGGCUCUAUAAGUCAGAUGUGAAAUCCCCGGGCUCAACCUGGGAACUGCAUCUGAAACUGUAGAGCUAGAGUAUGUGAGAGGAAGGUAGAAUUCCAGGUGUAGCGGUGAAAU
This 609-nucleotide ribosomal RNA is filed under the name Psychrobacter fozii. RNAcentral's name for it is "bacterial SSU rRNA". It matches the Rfam family "Bacterial small subunit ribosomal RNA", at positions 76 to 687 of the family's 1533-position model. Lineage: Bacteria; Pseudomonadati; Pseudomonadota; Gammaproteobacteria; Moraxellales; Moraxellaceae. The record is from RNAcentral.